AUUGAACGCUAGCGGGAUGCUUUACACAUGCAAGUCGAACGAGUGGCGGACGGGUGAGUAAUAUAACGGAACGUGCCCCGUAGCGGGGGAUAACUAAUUGAAAGAGUGGCUAAUACCGCAUUCUAUUGGUGCGGACCAUAUUGGAUUAGCUAGUUGGUGGGGUAAAGGCUCACCAAGGCCACCAUCCUUAGCUGGUUUGAUAGGACGACUAGCCACACUGGGACUGAGACACGGCCCAGACUCCUACGGGAGGCAGCAGUGGGGAAUUUUGGACAAUGGGGGAAACCCUGAUCCAGCCAUCCCGCGUGUAUGAGAAGGCCUUCGGGUUGUAAAGUACUUUUGGCAGAGAAGCGGUAUCUGCAGAAUAAGCACCGGCUAACUACGUGCCAGCAGCCGCGGUAAUAC
RNAcentral lists this ribosomal RNA (405 nucleotides) under uncultured bacterium. RNAcentral describes it as "partial 16S ribosomal RNA". It matches the Rfam family "Bacterial small subunit ribosomal RNA", at positions 30 to 526 of the family's 1533-position model. The record is from RNAcentral.